UACGGGGGGUGCGAGCGUUGUCCGGAAUCACUGGGCGUAAAGGGCGCGUAGGUGGUUUGAUAAGGGUGUGGUGAAAGUCCGGGGCUCAACCCCGGAUCUGCCGUGCCGACUGUCAAACUCGAGGACUGUAGAGGCAGACGGAAUUCCGCGUGUAGCAGUGAAAUGCGUAGAUAUGCGGAGGAACACCGAUGGCGAAGGCAAUCCCCUGGACCUGUACUGACGCUCAUGCACGAAAGCGUGGGGAGCAAACAGG
Molecule: ribosomal RNA, 253 nt
Filed under: uncultured bacterium
Lineage: Bacteria
Description: partial 16S ribosomal RNA
Rfam family: Bacterial small subunit ribosomal RNA
Source: RNAcentral